RNAcentral lists this ribosomal RNA (450 nucleotides) under uncultured bacterium. RNAcentral's name for it is "partial 16S ribosomal RNA". It matches the Rfam family "Bacterial small subunit ribosomal RNA", at positions 354 to 796 of the family's 1533-position model. The record is from RNAcentral.
GUGGGGAAUAUUGGACAAUGGGCGAAAGCCUGAUCCAGCCAUGCCGCGUGUGUGAAGAAGGUCUUCGGAUUGUAAAGCACUUUAAGUUGGGAGGAAGGGCAGUAAGUUAAUACCUUGCUGUUUUGACGUUACCGACAGAAUAAGCACCGGCUAACUUCGUGCCAGCAGCCGCGGUAAUACGAAGGGUGCAAGCGUUAAUCGGAAUUACUGGGCGUAAAGCGCGCGUAGGUGGUUUUGUAAGUUGGAGGUGAAAUCCCCGGGCUCAACCUGGGAACUGCCUCCAAAACUGCAUGACUAGAGUACGGUAGAAGGUAGUGGAAUUUCCUGUGUAGCGGUGAAAUGCGUAGAUAUAGGAAGGAACACCAGUGGCGAAGGCGACUACCUGGACUGAUACUGACACUGAGGUGCGAAAGCGUGGGGAGCAAACAGGAUUAGAAACCCGGGUAGUCC